AUGUUCCCUUUGGCAGCAUGUGUACUAAAAUUGGAACAGUGCAGGGAAGAUUAACAUGGCCCCUGUACAAAGAUGAUGUGCAGAUUCACACAGUAUUCCAUAUUUUU
RNAcentral lists this small nuclear RNA (107 nucleotides) under Physeter macrocephalus (sperm whale). The record is from RNAcentral. Lineage: Eukaryota; Metazoa; Chordata; Mammalia; Artiodactyla; Physeteridae.